This is a long non-coding RNA of Hypanus sabinus (Atlantic stingray), 277 nucleotides long. RefSeq lists it as uncharacterized. NCBI's taxonomy places the organism in Eukaryota, Metazoa, Chordata, Chondrichthyes, Myliobatiformes, Dasyatidae. The record is from RefSeq and is a predicted model, not a curated record. The transcript has 3 exons.
AGUAAGAUUGGAGGAAGAUGAGGAGGUCUUCACAAUAGUGACAAUGAAGAACUAGAAGUAAAUCAUGAGACAGAUUUCUCAUCGUAUGUCAAAUACAGACGUGUCACAUUGCUUUUCAACAACUAUGAUGUACUUCAACCCAAGUCCAAGAGAACAGCAGGACUUGAAUGACCCUCAAAUAAGUGAUGGUAGUAUGGUGGAAAACAGCCUUUGGUUGUACAGAAAAUUUAAGUUGAAAUAUUAUUCUGUCAAUCAAAUUUGCCUUCAGGAAUACAGG